Molecule: ribosomal RNA, 390 nt
Filed under: Ochromonas tuberculata
Lineage: Eukaryota; Chrysophyceae; Chromulinales; Chromulinaceae
Description: partial small subunit ribosomal RNA
Rfam family: Eukaryotic small subunit ribosomal RNA
Source: RNAcentral
GCUUGUCUCAAAGAUUAAGCCAUGCAUGUGUAAGUAUAAACGAUCUAUACUGUGAAACUGCGAAUGGCUCAUUAUAUCAGUUAUAGUUUAUUUGAUAAUACUUUACUACUUGGAUAACCGUAGUAAUUCUAGAGCUAAUACAUGCAUCAAACCCCGACUUCUGGAAGGGGUGUAUUUAUUAGAUGGAAACCAAUGCGGGGCAACCCGGUAUAUGGUGAUUCAUAAUAACUUUCGGAUCGAUUUAUCGAUGCAUCAUUCAAGUUUCUGCCCUAUCAGCUUUGGAUGGUAGGGUAUUGGCCUACCAUGGCUUUAACGGGUAACGGAGAAUUAGGGUUCGAUUCCGGAGAGGGAGCCUGAGAAAUGGCUACCACAUCCAAGGAAGGCAGCAGG